GCAUAUCAAUAAGCGGAGGAAAAGAAACCAACAGGGAUUGCCUCAGUAACGGCGAGUGAAGCGGCAACAGCUCAAAUUUGAAAUCUGGCCCUAGGCCCGAGUUGUAAUUUGCAGAGGAUGCUUUUGGCAAGGUGCCUUCCGAGUUCCCUGGAACGGGACGCCAUAGAGGGUGAGAGCCCCGUCUGGUCGGACACCGAGCCUCUGUAAAGCUCCUUCGACGAGUCGAGUAGUUUGGGAAUGCUGCUCAAAAUGGGAGGUAUAUGUCUUCUAAAGCUAAAUACCGGCCAGAGACCGAUAGCGCACAAGUAGAGUGAUCGAAAGAUGAAAAGCACUUUGAAAAGAGAGUUAAAUAGCACGUGAAAUUGUUGAAAGGGAAGCGUUUAUGACCAGACUUGGCCCGGUUGAUCAUCCAGCGUUCUCGCUGGUGCACUCUGCCGGUCCAGGCCAGCAUCAGUUCGUCGCGGGGGAUAAAGGUUUCGGGAAUGUGGCUCCUCCGGGAGUGUUAUAGCCCGUUGCGUAAUACCCUGCGGUGGACUGAGGUCCGCGCUUCUGCAAGGAUGCUGGCGUAAUGGUCAUCAACGACCCGUCUUGAAACACGGACCAAGGAGUCGUCUUCGUAUGCGAGUGUUCGGGUGUAAAACCCCUACGCGUAAUGAAAGUGAACGCAGGUGAGAGCUUCGGCGCAUCAUCGACCGAUCCUGAUGUUCUCGGAUGGAUUUGAGUAAGAGCAUACGGGGCCGGACCCGAAAGAAGGUGAACUAUGCCUGUAUAGGGUGAAGCCAGAGGAAACUCUGGUGGAGGCUCGCAGCGGUUCUGACGUGCAAAUCGAUCGUCAAAUAUGGGCAUGGGGGCGAAAGACUAAUCGAACCUUCUAGUAGCUGGUUUCCGCGA
This 891-nucleotide ribosomal RNA is filed under the name Xepicula leucotricha. Its description in RNAcentral is "LSU rRNA". It matches the Rfam family "Eukaryotic large subunit ribosomal RNA", at positions 38 to 963 of the family's 3401-position model. The record is from RNAcentral. Lineage: Eukaryota; Fungi; Ascomycota; Sordariomycetes; Hypocreales; Stachybotryaceae.